UCGGAUAUGGUGUAACGGCUAACAUUGCCGCCUCUCAUGACACGCAUGGGUCACACCUGAUACGCGGCAGCUCGGGGUUCGAUUCCCCGUAUCCGAA
Molecule: transfer RNA, 97 nt
Filed under: Armillaria gallica
Lineage: Eukaryota; Fungi; Basidiomycota; Agaricomycetes; Agaricales; Physalacriaceae
Description: tRNA-Glu
Rfam family: tRNA
About the family: Transfer RNA (tRNA) molecules are approximately 80 nucleotides in length.
Source: RNAcentral